UACGGGGGGGGCAAGCGUUGUUCGGAAUUACUGGGCGUAAAGGGCUCGUAGGCGGCCAACUAAGUCAGACGUGAAAUCCCUCGGCUUAACCGGGGAACUGCGUCUGAUACUGGAUGGCUAGAGGUUGGGAGAGGGAUGCGGAAUUCCAGGUGUAGCGGUGAAAUGCGUAGAUAUCAGGAGGAACACCGAUGGCGAAGGCAGGUCUCUGGGCCAUAACUGACGCUGAGAAGCGAAAGCAUGGGGAGCGAACAGG
This 253-nucleotide ribosomal RNA is filed under the name uncultured bacterium. RNAcentral's name for it is "partial 16S ribosomal RNA". It matches the Rfam family "Bacterial small subunit ribosomal RNA", at positions 524 to 776 of the family's 1533-position model. The record is from RNAcentral.